CCUACGGGAGGCAGCAGUGGGGAAUAUUGGGCAAUGGGCGCAAGCCUGACCCAGCAAUGCCGCGUGAAGGAAGAAGGCUUUCGGGUUGUAAACUUCUUUGACAGGGGAAGAGCAGAAGACGGUACCCUGAAAAUAAGCUACGGCUAACUACGUGCCAGCAGCCGCGGUAAUACGUAGGUGGCAAGCGUUGACCGGAUUUACUGGGUGUAAAGGGCGUGUAGCCGGGAAGGCAAGUCAGAUGUGAAAUCUGGAGGCUCAACCUCCAAAUUGCAUUUGAAACUGGUUUUCUUGAGUACGGGAGAGGCAGACGGAAUUCCUGGUGUAGCGGUGAAAUGCGUAGAUAUAAGGAGGAACACCAGUUGCGAAGGCGGUCUGCUGGACAGCAACUGACGGUGAGGCGCGAAAGCGUGGGGAGCAAACAGGAUUAGAUACCCUUGUAGUC
RNAcentral lists this ribosomal RNA (442 nucleotides) under uncultured bacterium. RNAcentral's name for it is "partial 16S ribosomal RNA". It matches the Rfam family "Bacterial small subunit ribosomal RNA", at positions 338 to 795 of the family's 1533-position model. The record is from RNAcentral.